GCUCAGAUAGUUUAAGUAAAACGUUGGUCUGUGGAUCCAAAGAUAUAAUUUUUGUUAUUUUGGGCA
RNAcentral lists this transfer RNA (66 nucleotides) under Heterocarpus sibogae. Its description in RNAcentral is "tRNA-His". It matches the Rfam family "tRNA". From Rfam's summary of the family: Transfer RNA (tRNA) molecules are approximately 80 nucleotides in length. Lineage: Eukaryota; Metazoa; Arthropoda; Malacostraca; Decapoda; Pandalidae. The record is from RNAcentral.